RNAcentral lists this non-coding RNA (69 nucleotides) under Phycicoccus elongatus. The record is from RNAcentral. RNAcentral also lists the same sequence under 1 other name. Lineage: Bacteria; Bacillati; Actinomycetota; Actinomycetes; Micrococcales; Intrasporangiaceae.
GGAACCCGGUGCAAGACCGGGACGGUCCCGCCACUGUGACGCCCCGUUCACCCGGGCGAAGUCAGGAAC